UACGUCAGUGGCAGACGGGUGAGUAACGCGUGGGAACGUACCUUUUGGUUCGGAACAACUGAGGGAAACUUCAGCUAAUACCGGAUAAGCCCUUACGGGGAAAGAUUUAUCGCCGAAAGAUCGGCCCGCGUCUGAUUAGCUAGUUGGUGAGGUAAUGGCUCACCAAGGCGACGAUCAGUAGCUGGUCUGAGAGGAUGAUCAGCCACAUUGGGACUGAGACACGGCCCAAACUCCUACGGGAGGCAGCAGUGGGGAAUAUUGGACAAUGGGGGAAACCCUGAUCCAGCCAUGCCGCGUGAGUGAUGAAGGCCCUAGGGUUGUAAAGCUCUUUUGUGCGGGAAGAUAAUGACGGUACCGCAAGAAUAAGCCCCGGCUAACUUCGUGCCAGCAGCCGCGGUAAUACGAAGGGGGCUAGCGUUGCUCGGAAUCACUGGGCGUAAAGGGUGCGUAGGCGGGUUUCUAAGUCAGAGGUGAAAGCCUGGAGCUCAACUCCAGAACUGCCUUUGAUACUGGAAGUCUUGAGUUCGGGAGAGGUGAGUGGAACUGC
RNAcentral lists this ribosomal RNA (547 nucleotides) under Rhodopseudomonas sp. JA504. Its description in RNAcentral is "bacterial SSU rRNA". It matches the Rfam family "Bacterial small subunit ribosomal RNA", at positions 88 to 670 of the family's 1533-position model. The record is from RNAcentral. Lineage: Bacteria; Pseudomonadati; Pseudomonadota; Alphaproteobacteria; Hyphomicrobiales; Nitrobacteraceae.